RNAcentral lists this ribosomal RNA (486 nucleotides) under uncultured bacterium. RNAcentral's name for it is "partial 16S ribosomal RNA". It matches the Rfam family "Bacterial small subunit ribosomal RNA", at positions 30 to 507 of the family's 1533-position model. The record is from RNAcentral.
AUUGAACGCUGGCGGCAUGCCUUACACAUGCAAGUCGAACGGCGGCACGGGUGCUUGCACCUGGUGGCGAGUGGCGAACGGGUGAGUAAUACAUCGGAACAUGUCCUGUAGUGGGGGAUAGCCCGGCGAAAGCCGGAUUAAUACCGCAUACGAUCUACGGAUGAAAGCGGGGGACCUUCGGGCCUCGCGCUAUAGGGUUGGCCGAUGGCUGAUUAGCUAGUUGGUGGGGUAAAGGCCUACCAAGGCGACGAUCAGUAGCUGGUCUGAGAGGACGACCGGCCACACUGGGACUGAGACACGGCCCAGACUCCUACGGGAGGCAGCAGUGGGGAAUUUUGGACAAUGGGCGAAAGCCUGAUCCAGCAAUGCCGCGUGUGUGAAGAAGGCCUUCGGGUUGUAAAGCACUUUUGUCCGGAAAGAAAUCCUUGGCCCUAAUACGGUCGGGGGAUGACGGUACCGGAAGAAUAAGCACCGGCUAACUACGUG